GUGUCAGCCGCCGCGGUAAUACGGAGGGUGCGAGCGUUGUUCGGAAUUACUGGGCGUAAAGCGCGUGUAGGCGGCCUUCUAAGUCUGGUGUGAAAGCCCGGGGCUCAACCCCGGAAGUGCAUUGGAUACUGGGAGGCUGGAGUACCGGAGAGGAGGGUGGAAUUCCUGGUGUAGCGGUGAAAUGCGUAGAUAUCAGGAGGAACACCGGUGGCGAAGGCGGCCCUCUGGACGGAUACUGACGCUGAGACGCGAAAGCGUGGGGAGCAAACAGGAUUAGAUACCCCGGUAGUCC
Molecule: ribosomal RNA, 292 nt
Filed under: uncultured bacterium
Lineage: Bacteria
Description: partial 16S ribosomal RNA
Rfam family: Bacterial small subunit ribosomal RNA
Source: RNAcentral